Molecule: transfer RNA, 69 nt
Filed under: Bacillus cereus
Lineage: Bacteria; Bacillati; Bacillota; Bacilli; Caryophanales; Bacillaceae
Description: tRNA-OTHER
Rfam family: tRNA
About the family: Transfer RNA (tRNA) molecules are approximately 80 nucleotides in length. Their secondary structure includes four short double-helical elements and three loops (D, anti-codon, and T loops).
Source: RNAcentral
UCUGCAAUAGCUCAGUGGCAGAGCAGAUGUACAUAUCUGUCGUAGGUUCGAUUCCUACUUGUGGAGCCA